UGUCAAAGUGAAGAAAUU
RNAcentral lists this small nuclear RNA (18 nucleotides) under Arabidopsis thaliana (thale cress). Its description in RNAcentral is "snRNA_17983". Lineage: Eukaryota; Viridiplantae; Streptophyta; Magnoliopsida; Brassicales; Brassicaceae. The record is from RNAcentral.